GUGCCAGCCGCCGCGGUAAUACGUAGGGGGCGAGCGUUGUCCGGAUUUAUUGGGCGUAAAACGCUUGUAGGCGGCCACGCUGCGUCGGACGUGAAAUCUCCCGGCUCAACUGGGAGGGGUCGUGCGAUACGGGCGGGCUCGAGGCCGGUAGGGGGACGCGGAAUUCCCGGUGUAGUGGUGGAAUGCGUAGAUAUCGGGAGGAACACCAGUGGCGCAGGCGGCGUCCUGGACCGGCACUGACGCUGAGGAGCGAAAGCGUGGGGAGCGAUCCGGAUUAGAUACCCGUGUAGUCC
Molecule: ribosomal RNA, 293 nt
Filed under: uncultured bacterium
Lineage: Bacteria
Description: partial 16S ribosomal RNA
Rfam family: Bacterial small subunit ribosomal RNA
Source: RNAcentral